This 328-nucleotide long non-coding RNA is filed under the name Panax ginseng (ginseng). RNAcentral describes it as "long non-coding RNA (PGIN_LNC010812)". The record is from RNAcentral. Lineage: Eukaryota; Viridiplantae; Streptophyta; Magnoliopsida; Apiales; Araliaceae.
GUUAAUGUUAUGUAUGCGGUGUUGUUGUUAAUGUUAUUAAAUCGGUUGUAAUUUUGAUAAUUUUCAUUCUUUAACCAACAUGUUAUGUAUUUUUCAUUCGGUUGGAAUUUUGUGCACUUUGCACAUUAAGAUUUUCAUAAACUGGAAAUGUAACUAGAGGAAAUAUUCUUAAACUUGCAGUGUCUAGCCAAGUAUUAGCAUUUAUUUUACUCUUUCAUUCAGUUAAACUGAGAGGUGUUGCUGAGAUUGGUGGAAAUUUUAGCCAAUUCUAAGUAGUAUUACUUGUUUUAAAAAAAGAAGAAGAGUAGAUGCAAUUGUUGAAUUAAUG